UUUCUGUCUGAAAACCCCCGGACCGGGCCAAACCGACUGCACAGGUGUGCAGAGAUUUCACCUGCAGUCAUGCCGCUGACAUUCAUGUCCACUAUUAAGUGGGUAAAAUCGUAGACAUUUCCAAAGAAAAUGCGCGUUUUUUGAAUAGUUCGGUGUCGAGAGUGGAGGACAAAAGCAAAGAGGAUGCAGCAGCAGCAGAAGAAGAAGAAGAAGAGAAAGCUCGACUUCCGGUUUUCCAGCAGCGCAAACUUGAGAAAUGGUUGAAUGAAAAAACGGCCGUAUUUUAUUUCCCGACUUUCGUUUGAUAAACACAUAAUAAGCAAUCAGAUAAAUGCUCGUUUUCCGUUUUUUGAUUUUCGAUUUCCAAACGAAAAACGGGAGACGGCUCGUUUUCCGUUUUUUGUUUACCUUCAUCCAAACGGAAAUCGGAAAUCGAAUGGUUUUCCGUUUUUCGUUUACCCAUAUCAAUCCGGAAAACGAAUGGCCGUAAGGUACACGGACCUCUGGAGCCGAUAGAGAGCAGCCGCUCCGAGAAGACGGUGGUUUUGUUUUUCUUUUUUUUCCCAUUUGCGGUGAUUUUUUCCCCCACUUUUAUCCAUUUCUAACGGCACCGUUCGGUUCCGUUGAACCUCCUCUGCAGUGAUGGAAAGCAGCCGCUGCUCCUCCGGUGAAGACCGGUGUUCAGUAGACUUUUUGGAAAGGUUUGCGUUGCUGUCGCGGUGAGACCGGUGGAACAGAUCGUCACAGAUGGCUCGCUGCUUUGCAGGCUAGAACGCCGCAUAUCCGAUCCGAACUGAGCAGACCUGAACCGUACCGAAACUGUGGCCGUUUCUCAAUACGCGUACUUCUCUGUACUUGUGAACUCACGGACUCGUGAAACGUCAUCAGUCAGAGACCAGGUACUGUUCCAAUUCAAAGUUCGCAUCUCACCAAGCACGCAUGAAAUACCCGGAUGUGACUAACUCCGCCCACUUUACCGAGUCUGCAUCGGACCAGACUUGUGCAGACUUGAGAAGCGAAAUUACCCAGAAUGCGUUUCGCAAGACAUGCCCGGGGUGUAAACACACAGCGGUGAGUAAAAAUAGCUAUGAAAUAUUAGCGUUAUUGUUUAACAGAACGUAGUUUUAACGGUAUUUUAGGCGAGAAUAUAGCUGUUUAGAAUGUUGAUAUGGGGUCAGUCUGUCCACAUCAAGCUUAUUUGAAUUUUUUUUCCAACGAUUUCGGACAUUUGGGGACCGGAUGGCUUAACGAGGCGACCCGGUGCUGAGCUGCUGCAUGUCGGCUGCAGCAGGCUGUGACUCCCCUGUGCUUAAACAUGAGAUAUUGAUCGUUUUGUGUGAAUCCGGUGUCUUGGUCCAGUGUAAUCUGUUUCAGAGUAAUUUUUUUUAAUUUGAUUUAAUUUUUAUUUGUUUAUUUGAAUGGGACAGUGCACAUUAAUGAACAUGCUGAAACAUGUAAACAUGCCGGAUUGUAGCUUGGUGCUAAUUUCUUCUACUCGUUAUAUUGGUGAAUGUUGUGCAUUCAGACAAAAAACUAUGAACUAUUUCAAUCAAGGCAGUACUGAGGAACCAGAACCUGGUCCAGAGGUGAUCUGCAGCCAGAUGUGGAUGGAGGGAGAGACUUUGGGACGUCUGCAGGGUCGGCUGUGACACCAAACAAGAUAUAAAUAUAAGAAGCAUAAUCUGAAGGCCUGAUCCAAGCAGGUUGUCAGUCUGGUGUCAUAAAGGCUGGGUGCUGCAGGUCUGAGUCUGAACCUCCACCCAGCAGAAACCCAGCUGGUGGAGACAGGACCAGCUGGUUCAUGGUGGAUCUGAGCAGGACCAGGGCCUCGUCGCAUCCCAGGAGGAAGAAUUCUGAUGUGGCUUCAUCAGCGACUCCAGCAGGAUGGAGAAAUGCCUGAAGACCAGGAGAGCAAAGCUCCAGGUUCCUCCACCUGCUCCUGUCUGGAAGUGGAUCACUGAGAUGAAGUUCAUCAGCUCAUCCACAACACUGAGGACGGUCCAGAACCCUGCAGAACCAGACCGGAGCUCCUGACUCCAUCCAGGGGAUUUUUCCUGGGAGCAGAAUCUGUAGAAUCUGUUCUCCCAGGAAACACUGAAGACUGGAGUCACAUGACCUCCUUAUCAUUGACCUGUUCAUGUUGUUGUUGUUGUUGCUGGUAAAUAAAAGAAAGAACUGUAGAACUUUUAAAAACAUGCCAUUUUUUAAACCUUCCUGAUGUUUCCACUUAUUUUUGCUUUUAUUCUUGAAGGUUCUGUUGAAGUUUAAUACAUUUUCCGUGAACUCCUGACUUUGUUAGACAUCUGUUUAUGAUUAAUAUCUCUCUUUGCAACACAUUGAUGUUUUUACUGAAGAGAGAACUGAAUAGUGAUAAUGAUUUGUUUAACUUUAUAAUGUAUAUUAGACUCAUGUAAAUCAGUGCAUCAUGAAGACGGGAGCAGAUGGAGGACAAAAGACACACAGGUAUGACAGGCAGUAAAACAAAGUGAAAUAAUUGUGUUUGUAGAAAC
Salarias fasciatus (jewelled blenny) is the source of this 2510-nucleotide long non-coding RNA. RefSeq lists it as uncharacterized. The record is from RefSeq and is a predicted model, not a curated record. The transcript is spliced from 4 exons. Lineage: Eukaryota; Metazoa; Chordata; Actinopteri; Blenniiformes; Blenniidae.